Molecule: ribosomal RNA, 253 nt
Filed under: uncultured bacterium
Lineage: Bacteria
Description: partial 16S ribosomal RNA
Rfam family: Bacterial small subunit ribosomal RNA
Source: RNAcentral
UACGUAGGGGGCUAGCGUUGUCCGGAAUCAUUGGGCGUAAAGAGCGUGUAGGCGGUCCGGUAAGUCCGCUGUGAAAGUCGGGGGCUCAACCCUCGAAUGCCGGUGGAUACUGUCGGGCUAGAGUGCGGAAGAGGCGAGUGGAAUUCCUGGUGUAGCGGUGAAAUGCGCAGAUAUCAGGAGGAACACCAGUGGCGAAGGCGGCUCUCUGGACAGACACUGACGCUGAGACGCGAAAGCGUGGGUAGCAAACAGG